This 254-nucleotide ribosomal RNA is filed under the name uncultured bacterium. RNAcentral describes it as "partial 16S ribosomal RNA". It matches the Rfam family "Bacterial small subunit ribosomal RNA", at positions 524 to 776 of the family's 1533-position model. The record is from RNAcentral.
CACGUAGGGUGCGAGCGUUGUCCGGAAUUAUUGGGCGUAAAGAGCUCGUAGGCGGUGCGUCGCGUCGGCCGUGAAAACCUGCAGCUUAACUGUGGGCUUGCGGUCGAUACGGGCAUCACUGGAGUUCGGCAGGGGAGACUGGAAUUCCUGGUGUAGCGGUGAAAUGCGCAGAUAUCAGGAGGAACACCGGUGGCGAAGGCGGGUCUCUGGGCCGAUACUGACGCUGCGGAGCGAAAUCGUGGGGAGCGAACAGG